This 185-nucleotide ribosomal RNA is filed under the name uncultured bacterium. Its description in RNAcentral is "partial 16S ribosomal RNA". It matches the Rfam family "Bacterial small subunit ribosomal RNA", at positions 1315 to 1500 of the family's 1533-position model. The record is from RNAcentral.
ACUUCAUGAAGCUGGAAUUGCUGUAAUGGCAGGUCAGCAUACUGCCGUGAAUACGUUCCCGGGCCUUGUACACACCGCCCGUCACACCAUGAGAGUUGGGAAUACCCGAAGCCUGUGAGCUAACUGUAAAGAGGCAGCAGUCGAAGGUAGAAUCAAUGAUUGGGGUGAAGUCGUAACAAGGUACC